This 404-nucleotide ribosomal RNA is filed under the name Fusobacteriota bacterium. RNAcentral's name for it is "Fusobacteria bacterium partial 16S ribosomal RNA". It matches the Rfam family "Bacterial small subunit ribosomal RNA", at positions 355 to 776 of the family's 1533-position model. Lineage: Bacteria; Fusobacteriati; Fusobacteriota. The record is from RNAcentral.
UGGGGAAUAUUGCACAAUGGAGGGAACUCUGAUGCAGCGACGCCGCGUGAGUGAUGAAGGAAUUCGUUUCGUAAAACUCUGUUCUAUGGGAAGAAAAGGACUGUACCAUAGGAGAAAGCUCCGGCUAAAUACGUGCCAGCAGCCGCGGUAAUACGUAUGGAGCGAGCGUUGUCCGGAAUUAUUGGGCGUAAAGGGUGUGCAGGCGGCUUUACAAGUUGGAUGUGAAAUAUUGUGGCUCAACCACAAACGUGCAUCCAAAACUGCAAAGCUUGAGUUAAGGAGAGGUAAGUGGAAUUCCUGGUGUAGCGGUGGAAUGCGUAGAUAUCAGGAGGAAUACCGGUGGCGAAGGCGACUUACUGGACUUAAACUGACGCUCAGGCACGAAAGCGUGGGGAGCAAACAGG